GCCCCCGUAGCUCAAUGGGAUAGAGCGUCGGACUUCGAAUCCGCAGGUUGCGCGUUCGAAUCGCGCCGGGGGCGCCA
This 77-nucleotide transfer RNA is filed under the name Anaerolineae bacterium. RNAcentral describes it as "tRNA-Arg". It matches the Rfam family "tRNA". From Rfam's summary of the family: Transfer RNA (tRNA) molecules are approximately 80 nucleotides in length. Their secondary structure includes four short double-helical elements and three loops (D, anti-codon, and T loops). Further hydrogen bonds mediate the characteristic L-shaped molecular structure. tRNAs have two regions of fundamental functional importance: the anti-codon, which is responsible for specific mRNA codon recognition, and the 3' end, to which the tRNAs corresponding amino acid is attached (by aminoacyl-tRNA synthetases). tRNAs cope with the degeneracy of the genetic code in two manners: having more than one tRNA (with a specific anti-codon) for a particular amino acid; and 'wobble' base-pairing, i.e. permitting non-standard base-pairing at the 3rd anti-codon position. The record is from RNAcentral. Lineage: Bacteria; Bacillati; Chloroflexota; Anaerolineae.